CAAAAUCUCAACUUUAUUAGAAGAGACGCAUUUAUUAGAUAAAAAGCCAAUGCAUGCUUUUACAGUAUGGAAAUUGGUGAUUUAUAAUAACUUGGCAAAUCGCAAAGUGAAAACAGGCGAUAAAUCAUUCAAGUUUCUGACCUAUCAGCUUUCGACGGUAUGGUAUUGGCUUACUGUGGCAGUGACGGUUAACGGGGGAUUAGGGUUCGAUUCCGGAGAGGGAGCCUGAGAAACGGCUACCACAUCUAAGGAAGGCAGCAGGCGCGCAAAUUACCCAAUUCUAACAGUUUGAGAGAGGUAGUAACAAGAAAUAACAAUACAAGGCAAUUAAAAUGUUUUGUAAUUGGAAUGAUAGAAAUUUAAACCCUUUUUAAAGUAUCAAUUGGAGGGCAAGUCUGGUGCCAGCAGCCGCGGUAAUUCCAGCUCCAAUAGCGUAUAUUAAAAUUGUUGCAGUUAAAAAGCUCGUAGUUGAAGUUCUGCUAAAAGUAACCGGUCUGCUUUUAAUAAAAGUGGUAUCUUGGUGUGUAUUUAGCAAUGAUGUCCUUUGAAGUGUUUUUUACUUUAUUGUAAUAAAGCAUAUUCAGGACUUUUACUUUGAGAAAAUUAGAGUGUUUCUAGCAGGCCGACGCUUUGAAUACUGCAGCAUGGAAAUAAUAAGGA
This 660-nucleotide ribosomal RNA is filed under the name Hepatozoon canis. RNAcentral's name for it is "SSU rRNA". It matches the Rfam family "Eukaryotic small subunit ribosomal RNA", at positions 174 to 824 of the family's 1831-position model. Lineage: Eukaryota; Apicomplexa; Hepatozoidae. The record is from RNAcentral.